Molecule: non-coding RNA, 49 nt
Organism: Paracoccus denitrificans PD1222
Lineage: Bacteria; Pseudomonadati; Pseudomonadota; Alphaproteobacteria; Rhodobacterales; Paracoccaceae
Source: Rfam
UGACCGCCACAACGGCUUCCUGGCGUGGCGGCGUCAUUUCAACGGAGCA